UCCUGGUUAGCUCAGUUGGUAGAGCGCUCCACUGGAAAUGGGGAGGUUCCUGGUUCGGUACGCGGACUAGGCU
RNAcentral lists this transfer RNA (73 nucleotides) under Ixodes scapularis (black-legged tick). It matches the Rfam family "tRNA". From Rfam's summary of the family: Transfer RNA (tRNA) molecules are approximately 80 nucleotides in length. Their secondary structure includes four short double-helical elements and three loops (D, anti-codon, and T loops). Further hydrogen bonds mediate the characteristic L-shaped molecular structure. tRNAs have two regions of fundamental functional importance: the anti-codon, which is responsible for specific mRNA codon recognition, and the 3' end, to which the tRNAs corresponding amino acid is attached (by aminoacyl-tRNA synthetases). tRNAs cope with the degeneracy of the genetic code in two manners: having more than one tRNA (with a specific anti-codon) for a particular amino acid; and 'wobble' base-pairing, i.e. permitting non-standard base-pairing at the 3rd anti-codon position. Lineage: Eukaryota; Metazoa; Arthropoda; Arachnida; Ixodida; Ixodidae. The record is from Rfam by way of RNAcentral.